RNAcentral lists this ribosomal RNA (610 nucleotides) under uncultured Actinomycetes bacterium. RNAcentral describes it as "bacterial SSU rRNA". It matches the Rfam family "Bacterial small subunit ribosomal RNA", at positions 232 to 869 of the family's 1533-position model. Lineage: Bacteria; Bacillati; Actinomycetota; Actinomycetes. The record is from RNAcentral.
CGCGGCCUAUCAGCUUGUUGGUGAGGUAAUGGCCUACCAAGGCGACGACGGGUAGCUGGACUGAGAGGUCGGUCAGCCACAAUAGCACUGAGACACGGGCUAUACACCUACGGGUGGCAGCAAUCAGGAAUAUUGCGCAAUGGGCGAAAGCCUGACGCAGCGACGCCGCGUGGAGGAUGAAGGCCUUCGGGUUGUAAACUACUUUACUCCGACGUUACCGUCGGAGCAAAAAGCACCUGCAAACUACGUGCCAGCAGCAGCGGUAAAACGUAGGGUGCAAGCGUUAUCCGGAUUUAUUGGGCGUAAAGAGUAUCGUAGGCGGUGGAGUAAGUAGUAAGUUAAAGCCCCCGACUCAAUCGGGGAAAUGCUUAUUAGACUGCUUUACUUGAGGUCGUUAGAGGGUGCUGGAAUUCCUGGUGGAGGGGUGAAAUCCAUUGAUAUCAGGAAGAACGCCAAGGGCGAAGGCAGGCACCUGGGGCGAACCUGACGCUGAUGAACGAAAGCUAGGGGAGCGAAAAGGAUUAGAGACCCUUGUAGUCCUGGCCGUAAACGAUGGGCGCUAGUUGGUCCGCCAGUCGGCGGACUGACGAAGCUAACACAUUAAGCGCCC